UUGCAAGUUCGAGCGGUAAGGCCCUUCGGGGUACACGAGCGGCGAACGGGUGAGUAACAAGUGAGCAACCUGCCCCUGACUCUGGGAUAAGCGGUGGAAACCCCGUCUAAUACCGGAUACGACCCGCCCCUGCCUGGGGUGCGGGUGGAAAGUUUUUUCGGUUGGGGAUGGGCUCGCGGCCUAUCAGCUUGUUGGUGGGGUAAAGGCCUACCAAGGCGAUUACGGGUAGCCGGCCUGAGAGGGCGACCGGCCACACUGGGACUGAGACACGGCCCAGACUCCUGCGGGAGGCAGCAGUGGGGAAUCUUGCGCAAUGGGCGAAAGCCUGACGCAGCGACGCCGCGUGGGGGAUGACGGCCUUCGGGUUGUAAACCUCUUUUACCACUCACGCAGGCUCCGGGUUCUCCCGGGGUUGACGGUAGGUGGGGAAUAAGGACCGGCUAACUACGUGCCAGCAGCCGCGGUAAUACGUAGGGUCCGAGCGUUGUCCGGAAUUAUUGGGCGUAAAGAGCUCGUAGGCGGUGUGUCGCGUCUGCUGUGAAAGACCGGGGCUUAACUCCGGUUUUGCAGUGGAUACGGGCAUGCUAGAGGUAGGUAGGGGAGACUGGAAUUCCUGGUGUAGCGGUGAAAUGCGCAGAUAUCAGGAGGAACACCGGUGGCGAAGGCGGGUCUCUGGGCCUUACCUGACGCUGAGGAGCGAAAGCGUGGGGAGCGAACAGGAUUAGAUACCCUGGUAGUCCACGCCGUAAACGUUGGGCGCUAGGUGUGGGGGCUUUCCACGGUUCCCGUGCCGCAGCUAACGCAUUAAGCGCCCCGCCUGGGGAGUACGGCCGCAAGGCUAAAACUCAAAGGAAUUGACGGGGGCCCGCACAAGCGGCGGAGCAUGUUGCUUAAUUCGACGCAACGCGAAGAACCUUACCAAGGUUUGACAUCACCGGUAAACCAUCGGA
This 950-nucleotide ribosomal RNA is filed under the name Nocardiopsis sp. MCCC 1A09977. Its description in RNAcentral is "bacterial SSU rRNA". It matches the Rfam family "Bacterial small subunit ribosomal RNA", at positions 55 to 1004 of the family's 1533-position model. Lineage: Bacteria; Bacillati; Actinomycetota; Actinomycetes; Streptosporangiales; Nocardiopsidaceae. The record is from RNAcentral.